Molecule: ribosomal RNA, 492 nt
Filed under: uncultured bacterium
Lineage: Bacteria
Description: partial 16S ribosomal RNA
Rfam family: Bacterial small subunit ribosomal RNA
Source: RNAcentral
AGUGAACGCUGGCGGUAGGCCUAACACAUGCAAGUCGAACGGCAGCACAGUAAGAGCUUGCUCUUACGGGUGGCGAGUGGCGGACGGGUGAGGAAUACAUCGGAAUCUACUUUUUCGUGGGGGAUAACGUAGGGAAACUUACGCUAAUACCGCAUACGACCUACGGGUGAAAGCAGGGGAUCUUCGGACCUUGCGCGAUUGAAUGAGCCGAUGUCGGAUUAGCUAGUUGGCGGGGUAAAGGCCCACCAAGGCGACGAUCCGUAGCUGGUCUGAGAGGAUGAUCAGCCACACUGGAACUGAGACACGGUCCAGACUCCUACGGGAUGCAGCAGUGGGGAAUAUUGGACAAUGGGCGCAAGCCUGAUCCAGCCAUACCGCGUGGGUGAAGAAGGCCUUCGGGUUGUAAAGCCCUUUUGUGGGGAAAGAAAAGCAGCAGGUUAAUACCCCGCUGUUCUGACGGUACCCAAAGAAUAAGCACCGGCUAACUUCGUG